Molecule: transfer RNA, 74 nt
Filed under: Stegodyphus mimosarum
Lineage: Eukaryota; Metazoa; Arthropoda; Arachnida; Araneae; Eresidae
Rfam family: tRNA
About the family: Transfer RNA (tRNA) molecules are approximately 80 nucleotides in length. Their secondary structure includes four short double-helical elements and three loops (D, anti-codon, and T loops).
Source: Rfam by way of RNAcentral
GCUUUCGUGGUGUAGUGGUGAGCACGCUGGGCUCAUAUUCGAGAGGUCCGUGGUUCGAGUCCCGGUUUAAGGCG